RNAcentral lists this transfer RNA (84 nucleotides) under Phlebiopsis gigantea 11061_1 CR5-6. It matches the Rfam family "tRNA". Rfam says of the family: Transfer RNA (tRNA) molecules are approximately 80 nucleotides in length. Their secondary structure includes four short double-helical elements and three loops (D, anti-codon, and T loops). Lineage: Eukaryota; Fungi; Basidiomycota; Agaricomycetes; Polyporales; Phanerochaetaceae. The record is from Rfam by way of RNAcentral.
GGGCGCAUGGUGUAGUUGGUUAUCACAUCCGCUUAGCAUGUUUGCGUUUGCGGGGGGUGCUGGGUUCAAUUCCCAGUGUGUCCA